This 30-nucleotide non-coding RNA is filed under the name Homo sapiens (human). The record is from RNAcentral. Lineage: Eukaryota; Metazoa; Chordata; Mammalia; Primates; Hominidae.
UAAAAUGNGCCCUUGUGGCUGCAGGGUUUU